Long non-coding RNA from Homo sapiens (human), 1537 nucleotides. Ensembl annotates it as CCDC26 long non-coding RNA. Its record names the gene CCDC26. The record is from Ensembl. NCBI's taxonomy places the organism in Eukaryota, Metazoa, Chordata, Mammalia, Primates, Hominidae.
GACAGAGCAAGUAAAAUAUUACGCUACAGUGCUACUGGCCCAUAAUCAGGCAACUGCAGAGUCUUAGGGGGUUAUCUAAUGUAGUCUUGGGGUGGCUGGAUAGACUUCCCAAAGAAGGUGAUGCCGAAGCUGAGGUCGGAAAUUACGAAGAUCAGCUAUAUUGUGCCUGCAGCCUGGCCUGUUGCCCACAGCGGUCUACCUGCCACACUGGGAAAGAUCGAGCAGAGACAGAGAAGAAAAGGAGGCUCCAUUUUUCAGGCUGCUCUCCCGCAGGCUCAUGUUUUGUGUUCAUGCCAGGCAGAGAACACAAAAUGUUCCAAUAAAUAAGUAUCAAAGGUUAGUGGUGAAAAUGAAGGAGGAGGAGGCAUUGCGUGAAAAACUAAACAUGCAAAAUAUUACACACAAAGAGAACCAAAAUGCAGGUUCACUGGAAAUGAUAGACAAUAUGUUAAAACAAGAGGAGAGAAGAGAGCUGAAAUAAUCAAAUGGAAACACACAAUUUAGGGCUAAGAUCUUGUUGUGUUCAGCCACAAAUGAUGGCCAGCAGUGAGGAAUCUGUGUGUUCUCCACACUCUUCGCUCCUGGGAAGUCAACUCACAUGGACCAUGAUAUCAAUAUCUGCUCCUUCCCCUAAUAUCUGUUUGACCUUGGGUCAGUUACUUAAACUUCCUAAGCCUUAGUUUCUUUGUCUGGAAAAUAGGGAUAGUUAUACCUACCACACAACCACUUUGUAAUGAAUAUGUUGGAAAUUAUAUGCAAAUUGGCUUCCGUUGGUGUUUGGAACAUAGUAGGUUUUUAACUGGAAUAUAAUAGCUACCAUUAUCAGUAUCAUCAUAUUAAUUUAUAUUUCCAUCUUCAGCCCUUAACCCAGGAUCUUCAGUAAAUGUUGAAUUCUCAAAUUUGUUAAAUUCACUUGUCUAUACUAAUAUUUUACUCUAGGUUUCUUAGAAUAUUCUAGAUAAUAUUAUUAUGUAGAAUAUGUUAUGUAAGCUUCAUCUUAUCUGUAAAUAUAGUUUUACUUUUUCCUUUCUAAUUUUUAUGUCGAUUACUUCUUUUUCUUGGCUUAUUGAAUUGGCUAGGAUUCCCGUACAGUGUUGAAUACGUGCAGCAAGACUGCACAUCUUGCCUUGUUCCUGGUCCCACAGAGAGAAUAUCCAGUACUUCACAAUAAGUAUGUGUUAAUUGUAGAUUUUAUUAGAUUGAGGAAGUUCCCUUUCCUUUCAAGUCAGUCUUUUUAUUUUAAACAUGUAUUGAAGUUUUGUCAAAUGUCUUCAUCUAUUGGAAUAAUUAUACAUAUCUCUUUUUUAUUCUGUUAAUAUUACAUUUCAAUCUUCUGUCUACCUAAAAUCCCUAGAAUAAUCUCCAUUUGGCUAUGAUGUGUUGUGCUUUUAUAUAUUACUGAAUUCUAUAUGCCAAUAUUAUUAAAAUUUUCUGUCUUUAUGAGAAAUAUUUGAAUGUAUAUUUUUUCAUGUAUUUGUUUUGAUUUUAUUUUCAAUGCCAUUUUGUAAAAGAGCAUUAAAGUGUUAGUAUGAAAGUA